This 163-nucleotide ribosomal RNA is filed under the name Lespedeza thunbergii subsp. formosa. RNAcentral's name for it is "5.8S ribosomal RNA". It matches the Rfam family "5.8S ribosomal RNA". From Rfam's summary of the family: 5.8S ribosomal RNA (5.8S rRNA) is a component of the large subunit of the eukaryotic ribosome. It is transcribed by RNA polymerase I as part of the 45S precursor that also contains 18S and 28S rRNA. Lineage: Eukaryota; Viridiplantae; Streptophyta; Magnoliopsida; Fabales; Fabaceae. The record is from RNAcentral.
GAACGACUCUCGGCAACGGAUAUCUCGGCUCUUGCAUCGAUGAAGAACGUAGCGAAAUGCGAUACUUGGUGUGAAUUGCAGAAUCCUGUGAACCAUCGAGUCUUUGAACGCAAGUUGCGCCCGAAGCCAUUAGGCCGAGGGCACGCCUGCCUGGGUGUCACAC